This 274-nucleotide ribosomal RNA is filed under the name uncultured bacterium. RNAcentral's name for it is "partial 16S ribosomal RNA". It matches the Rfam family "Bacterial small subunit ribosomal RNA", at positions 523 to 796 of the family's 1533-position model. The record is from RNAcentral.
ACACGUAGGCGGCAAGCGUUAUCCGGAUUUACUGGGCGUAAAGCGCGUGCAGGCGGUCUGGUAAGUUGGAUGUGAAAGCUCCCGGCUCAACUGGGAGAGGUCGUUCAAAACUGCCGGACUAGAGGACGGUAGAGGGAGGUGGAAUUCCCGGUGUAGUGGUGAAAUGCGUAGAUAUCGGGAGGAACACCAGUGGCGAAGGCGGCCUCCUGGGCCGUUCCUGACGCUAAGACGCGAAAGCGUGGGGAGCGAACGGGAUUAGAAACCCUAGUAGUCC